AUGCAAGGGAAAGGAGGAAGGGUUUUGAAACGACUAGUUCGAGAAUUUGCUGAUAGUCACCGCAAUGUCCCAUCCUGAAUUUAACAUAACUCGCAUCAAAUGUAAUUGAUACAGUCCAUAGCUUCAAAGAGCUGCUGAGCCUGCUGUUGGUGCUAUCACAGCUGUAAAUUGUUGGCUUGCUUUCAAGCUUGGAAAAUCCAGGGGUCUGUAUUUUAAGCAAAAGUCCCCACAUCUAAUUACUCCCCUGUAGCCUUCAUUUUUGUUCUGUACAGUAUUCUACCAAUCCCAAUUUUUGUCAAACCUCCCAAACACCAUUGUAGGAAAUACACGUAGCAUAUAUACUUCUAAGUAGACUGAGAGUAUCAAUCUGCUAUAGCGGCUGCAAGAGGGGAUAUUCAAUAUACCUGGAAAUAAAUCAA
Molecule: unclassified non-coding RNA, 419 nt
Filed under: Hevea brasiliensis (rubber tree)
Lineage: Eukaryota; Viridiplantae; Streptophyta; Magnoliopsida; Malpighiales; Euphorbiaceae
Source: RNAcentral